This 440-nucleotide ribosomal RNA is filed under the name uncultured bacterium. RNAcentral describes it as "partial 16S ribosomal RNA". It matches the Rfam family "Bacterial small subunit ribosomal RNA", at positions 338 to 795 of the family's 1533-position model. The record is from RNAcentral.
CCUACGGGAGGCAGCAGUAGGGAAUAUUGCUCAAUGGGGGAAACCCUGAAGCAGCAACGCCGCGUGGAGGAUGAAGGUUUUCGGAUUGUAAACUUCUUUUGUUAGAGAAGAAAAUGACGGUAUCUAACGAAUAAGCACCGGCUAACUCCGUGCCAGCAGCCGCGGUAAUACGGAGGGGGCAAGCGUUACUCGGAUUUACUGGGUGUAAAGGGCGCGUAGGCGGGAUAGCAAGUCAGAUGUGAAAUCCUAUGGCUUAACCAUGGAACUGCAUUUGAAACUGUGAUGCUAGAGUGUGGGAGAGGUAGGUGGAAUUCUUGGUGUAGGGGUGAAAUGCGUAGAGAUCAAGAGGAAUACUCAUUGCGAAGGCGACCUGCUAGAACAUAACUGACGCUGAUGCGCGAAAGCGUGGGGAGCAAACAGGAUUAGAUACCCCUGUAGUC